AGCCCGGUACGAUGUCGACUUGGAGGUUGUGCCCUUGAGGCGUGGCUUCCGGAGCUAACGCGUUAAGUCGACCGCCUGGGGAGUACGGCCGCAAGGUUAAAACUCAAAUGAAUUGAUGGGGGCCCGCACAAGCGGUGGAGCAUGUGGUUUAAUUCGAUGCAACGCGAAGAACCUUACCUGGUCUUGACAUCCACGGAAGUUUUCAGAGAUGAGAAUGUGCCUUCGGGAACCGUGAGACAGGUGCUGCAUGGCUGUCGACAGCUCGUGUUGUGAAAUGUUGGGUUAAGUCCCGCAACGAGCGCAACCCUUAUCCUUUGUUGCCAGCGGUCCGGCCGGGAACUCAAAGGAGACUGCCAGUGAUAAACUGGAGGAAGGUGGGGAUGACGUCAAGUCAUCAUGGCCCUUACGACCAGGGCUACACACGUGCUACAAUGGCGCAUACAAAGAGAAGCGACCUCGCGAGAGCAAGCGGACCUCAUAAAGUGCGUCGUAGUCCGGAUUGGAGUCUGCAACUCGACUCCAUGAAGUCGGAAUCGCUAGUAAUCGUGGAUCAGAAUGCCACGGUGAAUACGUUCCCGGGCCUUGUACACACCGCCCGUCACACCAUGGGAGUGGGUUGCAAAAGAAGUAGGUAGCUUAACCUUCGGGAGGGCGCUUACCACUUUGUGAUUCAUGACUGGGGUGAAGUCGUAAAAGGGGUAUAACAGUUGG
RNAcentral lists this ribosomal RNA (711 nucleotides) under Salmonella enterica. Its description in RNAcentral is "bacterial SSU rRNA". It matches the Rfam family "Bacterial small subunit ribosomal RNA", at positions 798 to 1533 of the family's 1533-position model. Lineage: Bacteria; Pseudomonadati; Pseudomonadota; Gammaproteobacteria; Enterobacterales; Enterobacteriaceae. The record is from RNAcentral.